This 219-nucleotide ribosomal RNA is filed under the name uncultured bacterium. RNAcentral's name for it is "partial 16S ribosomal RNA". It matches the Rfam family "Bacterial small subunit ribosomal RNA", at positions 1282 to 1500 of the family's 1533-position model. The record is from RNAcentral.
AACGUCUCAGUUCGGAUUGUAGUCUGCAACUCGACUACAUGAAGCUGGAAUCGCUAGUAAUCGCGGAUCAGAAUGCCGCGGUGAAUACGUUCCCGGGUCUUGUACACACCGCCCGUCACACCAUGGGAGUCGGAAACGCCCGAAGCCAGUGACCCAACUGAAAGGAGGGAGCUGUCGAAGGCAGGUCUGAUAACUGGGGUGAAGUCGUAACAAGGUACC